RNAcentral lists this ribosomal RNA (253 nucleotides) under uncultured bacterium. RNAcentral's name for it is "partial 16S ribosomal RNA". It matches the Rfam family "Bacterial small subunit ribosomal RNA", at positions 524 to 776 of the family's 1533-position model. The record is from RNAcentral.
UACGUAGGGUGCGAGCGUUAAUCGGAAUUACUGGGCGUAAAGCGUGCGCAGGCGGUUCGUUAAGUUCGAUGUGAAAGCCCCGGGCUCAACCUGGGAACUGCAUUGGAAACUGGCGGGCUUGAGUGUGGCAGAGGGUGGUGGAAUUUCCUGUGUAGCGGUGAGAUGCGUAGAUAUAGGAAGGAACACCAGUGGCGAAGGCGACCACCUGGACUGAUACUGACACUGAGGUGCGAAAGCGUGGGGAGCAAACAGG